GUGCCAGCAGCCGCGGUAACACGUAGGGUGCAAGCGUUGUCCGGAUUCAUUGGGCGUAAAGGGCUAGUAGGCGGCUUAGCAAGUCGGGUGUGAAAUCUCCAGGCUUAACCUGGAAUCGCCAUCCGAUACUGCUAUGGCUUGAGUCCGGUAGGGGACCACGGAAUUCCUGGUGUAGCGGUGAAAUGCGCAGAUAUCAGGAGGAACACCGAUGGCGAAGGCAGUGGUCUGGGCCGGCACUGACGCUGAAUAGCGAAAGCGUGGGUAGCGAACAGGAUUAGAUACCCUGGUAGUCC
This 293-nucleotide ribosomal RNA is filed under the name uncultured bacterium. RNAcentral describes it as "partial 16S ribosomal RNA". It matches the Rfam family "Bacterial small subunit ribosomal RNA", at positions 505 to 796 of the family's 1533-position model. The record is from RNAcentral.